UAGAAAAGGCUUUCUCAUUUGCUUCCCAGAUUGUUUUAGUUUGGACAGUGACUAUCGUACACACAUGUAUAAUGCAGAAUUAUCAGCUUUGCAGGCAAUUUUUAUUCUUAUUUUUUAAAAUGAAUCCAAGUUUGGAUAACCAGGUAAUUCUCCAGACUCCUCCACAGGAGUACAUGUCAACCUUUUCUAGUCAUAUUCAAAGAUACAGCCAUCAAGAAGUCUCAACUCAUACUUUUCUUACCACUUUUUAAGAGGAAAGCUAGAAUAGAACGUUUGGAAAAAGGUCCCAUACUAGGCCAAGCCCAUAUGCUUUACAGCGCUAGGCUUAGAUUGGGCCAAUUUGCGUCCCAUGACUGGUUUAACUUAGGCCCAUCUGCCUCCCAGGUAAGCACAAUGCUAACAAGAAACUGGGCAAACAGGCGAUUCAGGACACUGAAGUGUCACAUUGACUAGACUAAAUAAGAGCACAGGUACCAUCACAUCAUUAUAAUGCCGAAGCUAUAGUAUCAGUUCUACGCUACAUAGUCAUUCUUUAAGAGGACAGCAAGAUAACGUAACAAGAGAAGAGGUUCAUACUGACGACAUGCAACUUGCUUGGACACAAAAUUCAGGCGCAAUCUCGUGAACAAUCGUCCGAUUCGUUCCACCCGAGCUUCUCUGGUAAUAGCCAUGUCUGGUGUCGCCACCAUGGUCUAGGUCACUAGCUCACUCGCACUUGAUGGAGCGGUAAAUGUGCCGCACAAAUAGCAGUGACGCACGGAAACCAACUGUGCCCAGCAUCAGGAAGAAACCGUAGCAGACACAGGUCAUGUAGCCGAAGAAGAAGGACGUUUGCAUGAAGCCUGACAUGUCUGACCGGGCAUGGUAGUAGUAGAUGCAGUAGAAGAAGAUGAAUAUGCCAGUGGAGCCUCCACAAAGGACAGAUCUGCAAAUAGAAGGAAAAACUUUCAUUCCACAGGCACAAACAAAAAACAUGUGAUGCAAGGAAGCAUUAGGUCUGAGUAAUAGAAUCCGAGAAUAUGGAACAUGGUUUCCUAAUAUGUAAUGUGUUUUCUCCUGAAGUGCCUCUCAAGUUCUGUUGUUUGUAGUAAGUGUUUUAUGUAUAACUAGAAGCAUUACUAUAGAUAACUUUCAAACACAAACAGUGGAUCUAUGCUCAUUGCUCAUUAUAGCAUAGUACUGAAUACUGAUCUAGCAUGCCAUGUACCAAAUAGUUGCUGAACUGCAUGUUUUUCUACAGUUUAAAUUUUGGUUUGGAUCUGUGGUCAUGAGCAAACAUAACAGAGAAGUAACCAAGUAAAUAUGACAAGAAACAAAAACAUUAACAUAUGAGGAUAAAAGCAUCAAGAUGAAUAAAUGUCCUGAACACUGACCUCCACCACCACUUGUGAUCCUCAACAGCAAGCUGGAAGUAUGUGAGGGCCACUGUGACAAACGCAGUGACGAUGAUGAGGAUAAUGAAGACAAUGAAGAGGAUGCUGUAGAUGGUGUAUAUCUUAUGCCCCCAGAUGCUGGCAAAUAUGUAGUACAGCUCAAUGUAAAUAGCACUGAAAGGGAGGAACCCUGCCAUUGCCAUCUGAGGAAUGGUGCUUCGGUACCAGGGCAGCUCAGGGAUUUCCCUAGGAUACUUGGUUGUGCGGCAGGGAGCUUGGAACUCUGUAUUGCUAUUUUUCCCAGCUAUACCACCUAGCACUAGCAGGGGAGAGGUUACAAGUGCCCAAAUGAGAAUAAUGACAAUGAUAGUACCGAAAGGCAAAGCUGCUGUGGCACUAUAUGCUAUUGCAACGGUGUUUAGGAAGGAGAAUGUCAAGAAAAGCGGGCCACAGAACAAGCAGCCAGUCAAUAUCAGAUUCCUCACCUGAAACAUAAAGGCAGAACAUGUCAAACACAGCACCAAAGACUUGAAGAAACCAACCAAUAAUGGAUGCCUUACCCAGUUUGUUCCUUCCAGCUGAAGAUAGAAGGAAGUGGCUGUGUAUCCAGCAAUACCAGAUGUAAGAGCGUAGAUGACAACAAGGGCAGUAAAAAGGGCUCCUCUGUUGUAUGGAUAGAAGACGCCAACAAUUGCAAGGAGAAAGAUGAAAAUUGCACUAUCGAACAAGAAGAAUUUGUUACUUGUUAGAUCAUUACAACAUAGUUUAGAUCAUAGAUUAAACAGACCCAGUAAGUUCUUACAGGGCAAGAAGCUGAGAACCAGAUCCAAUAAUCGCUGCAAAAAGAGAUUUUUGCUGCGGAAAACGGAAGACGUCACCAUGUAUAUACUUCCAUCCAGUCUCUUCCUGGUCUUCAAGGGACUCAUCUUCAUGGGAAUAUCUUCAACAAAAGUGAGGCAUUAAGAAUGAUGUUAGUAAAGCUGUACAAUCCAUGCAACAACAAUGGAAUGUAUUGAUUAAGGUCUUACUUGAUGAAAUCGUUCUUGAGCACACGCAUCAGGAUUGUUGCCAGAAAGCCAGUCAGGAGAAGUACAGUUACACAUGAGUUGAUGAUGGAAAACCAAUGGAUCUCUAGGUGUUGCGGCAUAGAGGAAGACUUGGAGUAUUUUUCCAUUCUUUUCUCAAAAGGAAUAUCCGUCUUUUUCCAUGCUACUGAAUAAGAGAAUUCUACUGGUACUUCCUUGUCCUCUGUGAUAUCUACAGCCACAUUCGGGUCUGUUUGGACAUUAAUUUCUACGACACGGUCAUUGUUGUACAUGAUGUCAAAGUGGAUGUGCUUAAAAAGAAGGUACUUUCCAGCCCCUUGCUCCUUAUCCUUCUCCAGUUUACCAAGGAAUCCCCAUAAUGGCAGGUCAUCAUAGUACAUCUGGAAGUAGUAAUCCUUUGCAACUGCAUCCCGGAGCUUGGCAACUUCCUCCUUGGACAAUGUUUUCUUGCAGAGAGUCUUGGAGUUCUUAUCUUCCUUAAAGUUCAACUCGUAUGGUGCAUCAACCAACCGAUCACCGUUUAGAACCUCCCCGAGAGCCUCCUUUUUGUCCUUCGGGUGUUCUAUUACAGGCCCAGCAGCAGUUAAUAAGAAAGAGAAAUGACUUGGGCAUAAACCAACAAAGAGAUUGCUAAAUAAAGCAAGUAACAUAAAGGCAUGCGGCAUUAGAAGAAAGCUCACAAACCUGGUGCACAAAAGGGUAGAUCAUAGUAGCGGUAUGUCUCACUGCAACACACAAAGAGUAACUCAAUUAUUGAUCUAAAGAAAAGUAAAUCAAUUUUAACAAGUGCCGAUUAAGUAACAGAACAUGGUUGCAGUCCUAUUGUAGAAUUGUUUUUUGAUGUACUUGAAUUGUGACUCGAAAAAAAAAGAGGUACUUGAAUUUUGAAAUACUGAAAUUACCGUACAGUUCAUGUGGCGUUUUUGUCAGGCCAGCAGAGAGCUACUUUGGGUAUGAUAGAGCUAUCCAUACUAUUUACUACUCCCUCCGAUCCAUAAUAAGUGUCACGUUGUACUAUAUCAGCGACACUUAUUAUGGAUCGGAGGUAGUAUCGUGCAAGUGAAUUACAGAACUUAUGUACCAACUACUCUAGCUCCCUCUCCUGGCACUGACAAACCCCGCACUUGCAGACUUUGGCAACUCAUAGCUACAAGUAACACCCACCGCCAGAAAUGCUUAGAAUCAAUUUAGCAGUAACACCAUUCCAACUUAACCACAGUUACCGGCAAAAACACCAAACCAAGUCCUAAGUCCUAACUCAUCCAUCUCUACCCAGACAAUGUACUCUUCACACAGUGCAAGGGCGAGACAACCGACAUGAACUACAAAUCGCAAGAGUAAAGACAACAGACAAACGUCGAUCCCUGGUUGCCGAGCACCGCAGCAGAAUUAUACCUUGGGUUGUGGAAAGGGCCGACCUUGUUGGCGUAGAGCGGGACACGAUCUCCCUCCUUGUACCGGUGGUCGGAGCCGUCGGCAGCAGCCCCCAGCAGCACACAGGCCAGAACCGCCACCGCAAGAGCAGCAAUCGCUCUCGCCAUCUCUUCCUCAGCCAGCACCUACCACGACCCCGAGUUCCAAAGGGCGGCGGAUCUAAGAUGACGCGCCCCGAAAUUCCGAGGAGGUCAGUUCGGGUUUAAGAAAUCAGUGGAGGAGGAUGAGUAAAACGAGCUCGUACCUCAAGGAGACCCAGCCAAAGGCCCGAGAUUGCGGACGGACGGGGCGGCGGAGAGACGGCAGGGGGGCCGCGAUCUCGCGACGAGGCAGGACGGGGGACGGUGAGGAGGCACCGGCGGUGACACUAGGAAGAGUUGCGGCGUCGGCUGGUGGCGGCGGAGCGGCGAAGGGGCUAAAGGGGAGAAUUUAGAGCCGCAUUGGGGGAGAGGGAUCGGAGCUCGGGUAGGUCAAACCAUGAGAGGGAGGAGAGUCGGAAGGUGCGUGCGAGAGAAUGCGAGAUGGCGGAGAGGAAAAAACGCCGUGGAGGAGAUGACGUUUUUGACUAGGGAUCGGAGAAUUGACGAGUACAGUACAGAUUUGGUAACAUAUAAAACGAGAAAUAAAAAUAAAUACUGUAUAUAAACUUGCUCGACAAAAUAAUAGUACUUUCUCCGUCCCAAAAUAAGUGAGUCACCACAUUUUAUUAGCUUAGUCCGAGUGAAAUAUUGACUUGCAAGUACUCCAUCCGUCACAUAUUAAAUGUCACGACUCUGUCUAAAUAUGCAUGUAGUGUCUAGAUACAUGUGUAUUUAGAAAAAGUUGCGACACUUAAUAUGAGACAGAAAAAGUACUAUUAUUUAAGCAUUAAAGACUAUUGUUACUUAAGUUGACAAUUAAUCUAAUACUAGCAGUGUUAUCUCUUAUGUAAAUUUUUGGCGAUUAAAUUGAUAACACGUGGUUUUUUUUUAUCGGGAUUACACGUGGUUAUUGUGACACAAAAGUGGUAGCACUGGUUUGUAUAAGAAAUAUUUUUUCAAUGGUAUAAUAGAGCAUAUAUUUUUUCUGUGCCUAUUUGUUGGUCAAAGUUCAGCAUAAGUUCAUUCCAGAGUAUUUUGCAACAAAGUAUUACACAAAUUAGGUAUUCCAUCGAGAUGACUUUUGUUUUGCAGGACGGCAUUCAAAUUCCAUCUUAUCGGACGGUACAUCAUUUAAGCUAUUCAAGAGGUUGUUUCCGGUGCCAGGAAUUAUUACCGUAUUUAAUUGUGCUGGCACGAACGUUCUUUAGUUGUGUGUGUCAUUGUAACCGAAUUAGGCUUGAACAUCAAGGUGAAAACAAAAGAUCUCAAUAAAAGUGCACAUAUGACUACUUUCUUUGUUACUAAAUAUAAGACGUCUUAGUUUUGUCCUAAGUCAAACUUCUUCAAGUUUGACCAUGUUCUUUAGUUGUGUGUGUCAUCGUAACCGAAUUAGGCUUGAACACCAGGGUGAAAACAAAAUAUCUCAAUAAAAGUGCACAUAUAACUACUUCCUUUGUUACUAAAUAUAAGAAGUCUUAGUUUUGUCCUAAGUCAAACUUCUUCAAGUUUGACCAUGUUUAUAGUAAAAUCUACUAAGAUUUAGAAUAUCAAAUAAAUACUAUGAAAAUAUAUAUCAUGGUAGAUUUGAUAAAACUAUUUCAGAGUUGUAGAUGUUGCUAGAUUUAUUUUCUAUAAACCUGAUCAAAUUUGAAAAGGUUUGAGUUAGACAAAGUUUGGAUUUUUACUUUUAGGAGUAGUAAACAAAGUGCACCAAGAGACGCUUCUCUCCCUACGUACCAUCCAGUGCACACCACACCCAUAUAGCGAGAAAGUGUAGGUGGAGAUUCAGAGUCAGCGAUGUGGUUAUUUGAGUCUUUGAGGAGAAGCUCUGAAAGAUUUAGUAGCUCAGAGGUCAUAAAAGGACAAAUAAUGGAAAUAUGUAUAGGUGUAUUUUUCCAUUAACUUACUUUUAUCAUGGAGUUUGGCAGGUUUGCAUCCAAAUUGUAGCUGACCGUUUGACACGAUGGGAAAGUUUACCUACUCCCUCCGUCCAACAAAAGAUGUCUCAAGUUUGUCAAAAUUUGAAUGUUACACAUGACUUAGUGUAUAGAUGCAUUCAAAUUUAGUCAAAAUCAAUACAUCUUUUGUUAGACAGAGGAAGUAAAACAAUUUUGUGUCGUUAGAAAAACACACAAGUGCAGUGAAGUCGAAGCCUAGAUAGAUUACAAAAUAGUCAAAUUGCAUAUCAGGGUCAAUCAAUCUGCUUACCGCUUGAUCUAGACAUUCAAAAUCAGAAAAAGUCAAACAAGACGUGCAAUAUACAAUUAGAGAUGUCAGUACGGCGUGUAUGCCAUCAUUGCCAUGCAUGCGUGUAAACAAAUUCAAGUACUCUUCCCUAGAACCGAUUCGAGAUAAUACAUACUACUCCUGUACGUUUGCAUGCUAGUAGUAGUAAGCAUGUAGAAACAUGCAUAUCAAGUACUGGUAGUGCUGCAUGCUAAGUAAAUGUUGCCAUUGUCAUAUACCACUGCAUCCUACGGAGUACUAUUUUCGCCAUCAUGGCUUGGGUUCAAUAAUCCUCACAGCCGUGUUAAUGAAUUGCACGACGUAACUUAAGAUACGACACAAAAGAGAUAUUGUCACAUUUAUAUUGGAAAACUCUAUCUAAUGGUAUAAUUUUUAUAUACAUAUCUUCAAUGUAUUUUUUAUAAAAGUUUGGCACAAAACCCAACAGAGACCUUAUAAAUCCCAACAGAGAUAGUAUUUCUGUUCCGAAUUAAAUGACAUUUUCGAAACUAAUUUAAUUAUUCAAAACUUCAUUUAAUUCGAUGCAUGUGGAUCCCACAUAUCUGCAAGAGUGACCUUUCUAGGCCAACCUUCAAUUCUUCAAGCCAAAUUUCGAACAAAUUGUUUGAACCAGAUAGCUGAAAGCGGGACAUAACCGACGUCCUGCGCUUGCAUCCCUAGAUAUGUUAAUUCUGAUAGUGAAAACAGAAAACAGAAGCAAGGACUAACUAAAUGGAUUGAGAUUGAGCUAGCCAUGUCCCGCGAUUCAUGGAGGAACACGUGCCUUUGCACCUCCAAAACAAAACUACGAAAGUGUGUUAUCAAAAGGCUAAUUGGAGUGUCAGCCACGACAAAGUGGGCAAAAAAAAAAGGAGAGACAUAUGAGAGCGACCAUGCAAAGAGAUUGCACCGCUGGUAAUAUUAGCCAUCUGUUGGACGCACUGGCAAACAAGCAAGCAAGCAACGUGCAGAGAUCCUAGUCGUGCCAGCCUCAACCAAAGAAGAGCUUAGCGAGCUAGCAUCCAUGAUCUGUUCCUCUCCUUUGCUACCGUCACUCCUCAUCUCCUACACAUGGAUGACAUGUUACUUUUGCUUGCCUUUUCUUCUUUCAGCCCCUACCAGCUCCACACAGAAUGUGCCAGGUGGGUUAAUUAGUUUUGACCUUUGACUAUUGAAAGCUAAGGUUAAGCUCCACAAACCCAACACUCUCGCCGUUUUGAAACAUGGUCGGAUUAAUUUACGUAAUACAAGCAUAUAUUAUAUUUCUAUGUUGUUAACGAUUGCGAAAAAGUAGAAGCUCUGUGUCAUCGUCCAUCGGGUCAGCUAGCGAUCAUUCCAUCGUUCAACAUGACCGAUCGAUCAUUAGCAAGGAAUUACAUCGAUCUCUGUUUCUCUAAAAGACAUGUUGAAUUAGCAUUGCAUCUUUACUGAUGUGUUUCACAAAAGAUGGCUAAGACUGUUUGUUCCUCCUCCCCGGUUGCUCAAGAAAGUCAGAGCAGGAGGAACAAAUGUCCUAAACCAUCCCACGUGAGGUCCUUGUCUAUUCCAAAUCUCCCUCUAAGACCAUUUCAAAGCAACACUUAUUAAGAUUUCGCAAAAGGGAGAAAAUAAAUAAAUUCCAUUAAUGUUUUGUUCGAUUUCAUAAAUGACAAAUCUCAUCAAGGUCUUACUAUCAAUGUUCCAUCCCUGUUUCAAAAAAAAAAUGUGGUCUCAAUCCCAUCACGACUCUCGAGUGCGACAUGGAUUGCGAUCCACAGAGUUGUUUUUAGCAGCAUUUCCACAUCAAAUAAAGAUAGACAAAGAAAGAAGGAUAAAGAUAAUACCUGCGAGCCAGGUGGAUCACGCGGCCCCACAUGUCGGCCCCACGUGACACGCCGGCCUGCCUGAUGGCGCGUAGUAGUAGCUAUUUUCUGCAAAAGCAAAAGCGUGGAUUUUGGGCGGAGGGAUCGUCCGUCGUCCCCAAUAAUGCCGUGACAAGCAGCCAACGAACGCCUCUUUCCGAGAUCUCAUCCCCCACCUUGUCUCUUUCCCCUUCCUCCCCAGCGAAUCACAAUCGCCCCUUCUUGACCCCUUCCAAUUCCGAUCCCGUUUCGCGACAAGCCACCGCUUUCUUGGCUGGUUCUUCCGGAUUGGAGACAAAAAAGCCGCCGCCGCUGCUGCUCCUGCCAUUGCUGCUGCUUCCUGGCGUGAUUGGGACUAAAAGAGGCAACCAGGGCUCGAUUCGAGGCAAGCUUGUUUUCGGAUCCAGGGCGGGAAGGGACUGGAUUGGCGGUGUGUUGUCGGUCUUGUUGUUGUUGUUGUUGUUGUUGUUGCUGUUCUUGGCAUGAGCGUAGGGGAAGAUGGGGCUGGACUACUACAACGUGCUCAAGGUGAACCGGGGCGCCACGGAGGACGACCUCAAGAAGUCGUACCGGCGGCUGGCCAUGAAGUGGCACCCCGACAAGAACCCCGGCGACAACAAGGGAGAGGCCGAGGCCAAGUUCAAGAAGAUCUCCGAGGCCUACGAGGUAUAUAUCAUAUGGGCACUGUAUAAUUAAUUUGUUGCAGCUAAACCUGAAUGAUUUACAAUGCUAAUCCUUCUUGGAAAUGCGCCGUGCGAAAUAAAUUUAGCAGCAAAUGAUAGCAUCUGUUUCGUCGUGCGAUUCAGAAAAUGUUUCUGAUGAUGCAAAAUCGGAGGGAAUCCUCUUUUUUUCUUUUUGCAAUCAUGUCGUUUAUUGCACAUUGCGUUUCAGGUUAUGUCAACCUGGAUUUUUGCAGGCACACAAAAAAUGUUGUGCCUGCUUUCAAGGUUCAUAUGUAUAUGUUUAGACAGUUCAAGAAAUCUGUGAUUAGUUCUUUUGUUCUGAAGAAUGCUGCUCAAAUUGCUGAAUUUUGUGACCAAUGUCUAUUGCCUUUCAGGUUCUGAGUGAUCCUCAGAAGAGAGCGAUAUAUGAUCAGUACGGGGAGGAGGGCCUGAAGGCAUCUGCAGACAACGGUGGCUCGUCAUCGUCAUCGAUGAAUGGCACCGCUAACCACCGUUUUAAUCCCCGGAAUGCCGAGGAUGUGUUCGCUGAGUUCUUCGGUAGCAGCAAGCCUUUUGAGGGGAUGGGGCGUGCCAAGUCGAUGAGAUUCCAGACAGAAGGCGCUGGCACCUUUGGUGGGUUCGGUGGUGGUAAUGACAGCAAAUACAGAUCAUACAAUGAUUCCGCUGGCACCAGCUCUAGCCAGCCCCGGAAGCCACCAGCUGUGGAGACGAAGCUGUCCUGCACGCUUCAAGAGCUAUACUCUGGUUCAACGCGCAAGAUGAAGAUAUCUAGGAACGUGGUGAAGCCUAAUGGGUAAUCCCACUGUUUCCUGUGAAAUUCCUGCAAGAUUUCAAUGAAUCCCUGCUUUCCAAACUGGAAGUACAUUGAGAUGUCAAGAACAUGACGAUUGAUGCAUUGCCAUUUCGUUUCUGUCCCAAAAUGCAUUUUACUUACCUGCUGAUUUUUUAACAGGCAACUGGGGACUGAAUCCGAGAUUCUGACGAUCGAUAUAAAGCCCGGGUGGAAGAAAGGGACCAAGAUCACAUUCCCAGACAAGGGCAAUGAGCAGCCAAACCAGCUCCCUGCAGAUCUCAUCUUCGUCAUCGAUGAGAAACCCCAUGAUCAGUACACAAGGGAAGGCAACGACCUCCUGGUCUAUCAGAAGAUUGACCUGGUGGAUGCAUUGGCAGGAACCACGGUUAACCUGAAGACCCUUGACGGGCGUGAUCUGGUGAUAAAGCUGACAGACGUGGUGACACCAGGGUAUGAGCUUGCAAUCGCAAAGGAGGGGAUGCCUAUCGUCAAAGAGAACGGGAGGAGAGGAAAUCUGAGGAUCAGGUUCGACGUUGAUUUCCCAAAGAGGUUGUCAUCGGAGCAGCGGCAGAAUAUUAGGAAGGUUCUUGGAGGGCAACCUUAGCAGCAAUGAUCAAACCCCGGAUGCAAAUUCAGCUACCCUCUAGUUCUCCACGAAAUGCAGACUAAUUCAGAUGUUCUUCUUUUUCAGUUGGCUUGUAUGUCUAGUUACUUUUGGUUUGCAGGAAUUUCCUGAUUUGCUCCUUUGUUGACAAGAUAGCAAUAUUAAUUGUUGACUAGAUACAGAUUACAGUGUGACAUUGAAUUUUUUUUUUCACCUCUUCUAUUGCAUGUUUCAACAUUCAUUUGCAAAUAUAACAGAUUUCGAUCUCUUGCCUUUUGUGAAUUGUCAUGCUCUUUGAAGUAAAAAUAUUCUGAGUAAUGCCGAGCGCUCAAAUUUGAAAACAUUGCCAAAUUUGUUUUUGAUCAGUAGGAUGGCGGUUUAGUUCAUCAUCUUCCAACAAAUCUCUCCUAUUUCAAAUUCGACUUCAACCGAUAAAUAUGAAUCAAAUCACACCAGCAAAUCCAUACCCUUGAUAACCCAUACAAUUCAAAAGAAAAGUGUCAUGCCACGGUGGGGGAACUUUGGGUUAGACGGACCAACUUUUACAUAGAUUUAGGCUAAUUUGGAGAGACAAAUAGGCUAAGUACUUCAACAAAUGUUUUAAGGUGAAGGAGCAUCAAAUCUCUACUUAUAAGCAUUAACAUUGCGCAACUCAAAAAAAUACGUAUUGCAAUUAGAGACAAGUGGAUCCAGACAUGUUUCUGAAAUUUGGUUUGAACAUAAAUUUGAAACCUAUCAAACAUUUCUCACCCAGCACAGACCUUACCCACCUAUUCGUAAAUAGCAACGGCCUCGCUUGAAAAACGGGCCCCACCCUCUUCCUCCCUACAAAAAAAACGACACUUUUCGCGGUUCCCUUUCCAAGCCGUAAUUUUUUUCGCGCGCCCGCCGAAACCACCGCGUCCGGGAGCCGUCGGAUCGCGAAACGGACGGUGUUCGAUCGAUGAAGCAGGCGGAGGAGAACUCGGCGGCGGCCGCCGGCGCCGCCCAGGAGCCGCCAACGCCGACGCCGACGGUGUGGUACGACCCGAUGUCCCCGACGUCGUCUCCGACGGCGCCACGGCCGCCCGUCAGGGUUUACGCCGACGGCAUCUACGAUCUCUUCCACUUCGGCCAUGCCCGCGCGCUCGAGCAGGCCAAGAAAUCGUGAGCCCCGUUGGACCCUCUUCUCAAUCACGAUUUCCUUUCUUGUUUCUUUCUCUGAAAGCAUUGACAACAUUGUUUCUGAAUUUCUGACACCAAUUUCUGAAUCUCUGGCAUGGAUUUGUUGUCUUCGUCAGAUUCCCCAACACGUACUUGCUGGUGGGCUGCUGCAGCGACGAGGUGACCAACUGGUACAAAGGCAAGACCGUCAUGACCGAGGAGGAGCGCUACGAAUCGCUUCGCCAUUGCAAGCAAGCAACCUUCUGUUUUCUACUUUACCUCCUCCGUUUCUGAAUUUUACCUUUUGUUCUUAUUACUGUCCCAUUUCUGAAUCUUGUUGAAGAUGGGUGGACGAGGUCAUACCCGAUGCUCCAUGGGUCAUCGACGAGGAGUUCCUCGACAAGCACCGCAUCGACUACGUUGCUCACGACGCUCUCCCGUGAGUGUGUACAUACUAUAUUUAUGCAGCAUUGCAUAUUUCAAAUCAAUCUAUGUAUCUAAUAUAGAUGACAGGUGUUCGAGAAACAAAAAUCUAUGACUCUGUGUUUUGUUGAUCAGUUUGUGAAAAGUGUAAUUGACUCACUUCAUGUGAUUUGUUUUCAGGUAUGCAGACGCAAGUGGAGCUGCCAACGAUGUCUAUGAUUUUGUUAGAAUUGAAUAUCUGAAUCCCCUCCUCAUUUUUUUUUUGGACUAAGCAAUGCUGAUGGUCAGCUAACUGGAAAAUGUGUUGUUUGGGCAGGUCAAGUCCAUUGGCAAGUUCAAGGAGACGAAGCGCACCGAUGGCAUCUCAACAUCGGACAUCAUCAUGAGGAUUUUGAAGGAUUACAACCAGUACAUCAUGCGGAAUCUGACCCGGGGGUACUCCCGCAAAGACCUUGGUGUGAGCUAUGUCAAGGUGAUCAUCAGUUCCAGCAGUAACAUCUCCCAAAGCAAAGGAAGGACACCAAGCACUAAUGAAUUACGUGUUUUCUAUUACUGUAAUGUGAUCAGGAGAAGCAAUUGAGAGUGAACAUGGGGAUUAGCAAGCUAAAAGAGAAGGUGAAGGAGCAUCAAGAGAAGGUGAUCCAAGUUACUCUACAAACCCCAAAAAAAUUCGGCAUAGAUCUUCACAUGAUUUUGCAAAUGAUAGUGAUAGUAACUUGGUAACGCAUAUGCAGAUUCAUAGUGCAGCAAAGAUUGCUGGAAGCAAUCCUGUGGAAUGGAUGGAGAAUGCCGACCGUUGUAUCGUUGGGUUUCUUGAAAAGUUUGAGGAAGGUUGCCACAUGAUGGUAAGCAAGUCUUUGAUUAAUUUAAUUUAUCCGCAGUUGUCAAUACAGUAUUUGGUGAUUAUGGAUCGUGUUAUUUAUUUGACAGGAAACUGCAAUUAAAGAUCGAAUUCAGGAGGGGCUGAAGAGGAGAUCCAAAUCAGAGUCGGAGCUGAACCUUUCUGGAUCGGACUCGGACUCAUAAAGAUGUUUGUGGGAAUCAGAUUCCUGCAGUAAAUGUAUAGUAUUAGAUUAGCAUGUUGUUAUAGCCUUGUAAGACAUCAAACUGCAACGGUGGUUUAUAAUAGGAGGUUAUGUACCAUUGAGAACAAUAAUUUUUUGCGGUGACCGAUCAGUCUCUGUUUCUUAAAGAUUGCUCAUUUGCAUUUUGCCUCCUAAAUGACAUUAUUCCUCUGAGAAACUUGGAUUUGCAGUACAUGAUCUCAUUCUUGUGAUUAUGUUUGUCAAUGGCCAUGUGUUAUUUUUAUUUAUUUCUUUUCGAGGAACCGGCAGGAUAGAAGUUAUUUACAGUGCUGCCUUUUCAUUAAGAAUGAUAGAAGUUAUUUACAGUGAGGAGCAGGUUUUUUGAGGGGAAAUGCCGAGGAAACCCCAACGAGAACAAGAAAAAACUAGUCGGGCUGUAGCACUGUGUGAUGUCCUCGAAGCUCGCAGGCAAGAUGAGUGACUUCGACCUAAUUGAGAAGCUUAAGAGUGAAAAUGCGACAGUUCGCUCCUUCCUGGCUUUCCACCAGACGUAGAUAAGUCAACCACUUUGCUUCCUCUUAAUGUCCUUGCCAGAAAGGAAAAGGGAGGCGUCCCACCACUCCUCUGAUUGCUUCUCCUGAAUAAGAUCAUGUGUAAUUUUAUUGGCCAUGUGCUAUUGCCACCAACUAAAUAUCAUUCAUAUACUUCUCCCUUUUCUUUCAGCUACCAUGAUAUAGUUUUCAGGGUAGUAUUGGUUAUACACUUAUACAUGAAGAUGCAAUUGGUAGCGGUUCGUCAGAUUUAGAUAAGCUGGAGCUAGCCUAUUUGCAGAACCCAAUGUUACAAUAAUGUAUUUUUAGCAACCAAGAACUAAAUUUAACACAUGCACAUGGAGAAUUCUGUUGAUUCAGAAACACCUAACGAAAAUAAUAUUUGUUAUCCUGAGUCAUACUCCUAGUAUACCAUCAAAACAAUUUCCCCUCUACAUACGAAUACUAGAAACGGAAGCUAGCUAUUUUCUAAUCUUGCCACCAACAAUUCGGUCCUGAUACUACAGUAUCACAUAAAACUUUGAUCAUCAUACAACACAACUCAAGAAAUUAAGCAGAAACAGUUCAUUGUCAUUCACCCUGGACUUCCUGUUUUACAUAAUGAUUUGAUUAUUUGGGAAACUGUUGUCUUCAAUGAUUUCACUGUCUCAUUGUCAGUUCUUCACCUAUGCCCUCUGAAAUACAUGUAUACUCCCUGCAAAACAGUAGAUUUGGAAGGAUGUCAUGAAACCACAGAAACUGUAGGAUGUCAUGUAUGUUCACUAAUUGCGCAUGUAAUAAUAUGGUAAAGGCACAACAAAAGCUGAUCAUUUCUGGUAGUCGAGGAGCCAUACUAGAAAGCAAGGAAACAACAAAAGUUUCUAGGCAUAUUCUUUUUUAGUUCCUCUCAAAAAAAUUGUUUUUCUUUGUUGAGCUUGCAACCAAGUGAACUUAUAAGAGUGAUAGUACAAACAAAGAGAAGAUGUUCCAUGAAAACAACAAUGUGAAAGAAAUGAAAGGUGGAACCGACAAUAACCUCAAGAACCCAAAUACUCAUAAGCGAUUCCGCAGUAAAUAAUAUGAAUCCAAUUAGAUACAGUACCUGCAUUACUCCAAAAAGGACACAAUUAAGGACUCACGGCAAGUUUUAGUGCUGAAGUAAAAUAUGUUCAAAGUUAACCAUAAUAGCGCAGAAGAACUAACCCCGACGAACAUAUCUCCGCUUAAAACAUCGAUAGCAACAAGAAUUCCCCUGAUUUCAGGUAAAGAACUGUAUCGAACUAUUGCAGUUGGAAACUUUGGCAAAAUGAAAAAUGCUUGACUUACGUAAGAGUUUUUCCCAUGAAUAUUAUUGGAGGAGCAAUUGCAGCAAUGACACAAAAUCCAACAUGCACCUGGCACAUAUCAAGCCAUCACUAUGCUCACCAGUGCAUUACCAUAGGAUCAAACAUAAAGAUAGAAAAAUGCAAUAGGGUUAUCUUUUUAGUUGAAGGUUAUUAGCAUGUGGAACUCAGCUCGGUGUAUAAAUAGAAGUACCGAGUAGAAGAUGAAAAACUGGCCAAAGGUCACCACGCUAUCGGUUCUGGUGUACAAAGGUAAGAUAAUUUUGUUACCAUAUUGGCAUUCUCAUAGAGCAUUUCCAGAUAAUGGUAAUUUACUUGGAAUUUUAAUUGAAAAGAAACCUCAUGGCCUGGUACAGAGGCCUGUACCAUAGUAUGUAUGAAAGAGGACAUCCAAAUAUUGCAUAGAUGACGGCAAGGAGAAAAAGAACAAUAUCUGCCAUAAAAAGGAGACAUGAUGUAAAAUAUGCAUGCUUAAGAAAAUGGUUUAUCUGGCAAGAUAUUUAGCACCUUCCAUGUGAAUUGAUUCGACUAAAACUGCAAAGACAUUCCAACUGAGACAGACAACAAUUCCUGCAAGAAGAGCAGCCGAUGAACAGGAGCUGAACUGAUGAUACUUCGUUCUUAUCUAUGUUGAAAACUAUCAGCAAUAAUCUCAAUUAAUAGGAGAAAACUGAUGUAAGGGUAAAAACCUAGCCAACUAGCAAAUGCUGAGUACUGCAACUUUUGAGCAUGGAUGGGUAUUUCAUUGGCUAUAUCAUGAUGUAUGAUGGGGAAGAACGGUGGCCAAUUUUUCACUUCGACCAUGACACCGGCUGCACAACCAGAUGUAUAUUUCAGAAUUCAGACAAAACGUGAAAGCAUGAUGGAUUUAUCUUAUGAUGCUCUCUUAGGACUACCUCUGUUCAUUGUAUUCUCCCUUUGUAUGAUAUCCUGCAACAAAAGUCACACUUCUGAUUCUGAAAACUCUUUGAGGACUCACUUUCAUAAAUUUGUUGACUAGAAAGACAAUAAUUAUUGGACAUAUGAAGCAACCCAAAUGAACAUAUGACACUCUAAGAUUACGAAAUAAUUGUGGAAGUGAAUCUAUAGGAUUUCUAAUUAAGUGAAAAGGAGAACGGACCCGCUCUCUCCUCUUCAAAUCCUCCUCCCACGAUAAGAGCUCUUUCUCCCGCUUCCUCGGAUCCUACAUGAAUUAGGAUUAUCAUUAGGUGUACCAAGAACACAAUAUUAUCUUGUGUAUGAACAAUGUAUACAUAUAGUGGGAUGUCGAUGGUGGCGCCAUGGUUAAUGCUGCCUCCAAAGCCCGCCGGGAUCCAGGAUUUCUUCGAUGGAGCUGGUGCCAAUGCCUGUCCAUUAUGAAAUACAAACGAUAUGUCCCAAGAAAAUAACAAUCAACUGUCAUCAUGAUUCUUCACAAAAAAUGACACUGAAAUAACACCCCGCUUAAACUCAGGCUGCAUACUGAACUACAUGAGAGUUGGAUUGUUCUAUUAGUAUGCAUAGAAAAUGAUCAGAUCAGAUAAGUCCAAUGGAAAAUCAAGAUAUAAAAGUUGAAUAAUUUGAUCUAAUCUCAAUAAAUCUAUCCAAAGAAACCUCGCAAGCAGACCAGAAUGCAAAACGAUUCAGAGCAUUUUGUUCUUCUAAGAAAUUCAAUCCAGACAGUCUCGAUACAGAGAUCAUCAGAACGCAUGGGUCUUUUUUUUAACCAAAGUUAAUCUGGACAUGAGAAACAAUGCUCCAAAGAGAAAUGUCUCAUCAAAAGACAAAUAAUUUGAACCCCAAAUAAGAAGAAGAAACAUGUAAAGUCUGGAAUACCGCUGUAGGAUUGACAUUUUCGUCUUCAAACGGAUUUGUGUUACGAGACAUCAUUAGGAAGAUCCCUCGGCAUGAAUAAAUCCCUGUGUUGUCUACCUUUGGGAUGAGCCGAAAUCUGUGCUGCAAUAAAUCUGUGCAUGGCCAACGAAAGGAAGUUAGUUAUUUUCAGUUAAUGCUGGCCGUCUAGCGCUUUGGUCCUUAUUGGUUGUUACAUUCCAAUACCAUCAGCCCCUCGUUUUAUUACGUUUUACCUUUUUUAUCCCUUCUUCCUCUCAUUUUGGAAAGUGUAGGAAUUCUUACAGAACUGUUGAUUCGUAAUCUCACAGAAUUCACGAAAAAUCCUGGGUUGUUAGUUUUGUCUUUUAAGCAGUUUAGUACAUGCACGUUAUAGACUGUAAGAAAUCAGAACAGAAAGAAACACAGUAGGCCUGCGAAGUGGAAUUUGAUGGAGCUGAAGAGACAGAAUCAAUUUCAUGCCCCGUUAAACAUAACAACUGCAUCCAGUAUCCACAUUGCAGUGAGCUCGAUACAGAAAAUGCAUUGAUUCAGAAAUGAGACAAAUGCCGUCUAUAGAAGAUCAAUCUGAAGUUAACGCGGCGUUAUUAUGCCAUACACAGUAGGAGGAAUUUUCACAGAUAACACUUUGCUAUCAAGCGUAAUACACAAUACACUGGCAGACAUUGUAAACCAAAUAAGGAGGCAACAAAUCCAAAUUUCUGCAGUAUCUUCUCUAUUUAGUGAUGGUGGUCUUGAACAUAGCGAAGACCACAGUAUUUGCACACAGCAGGGGCCUCCAGAUCAAGGCAGAUAUACUCGAUUGGAUGGCCAAGGGCAGGGUUACUAUCUGUAUAUAUAAUCCAAAUGGAAACAGUCAGCCUUGCAGAAAAUGAAUGCCCAUGACUCCAUGGGUGAGUAUAUUAAUAUAUGUAGCAAGCGAAAAAGGGACCGAAGCACGGUAAUGAGAAUUUGUAAAAAAAAAAAAAAAAAAGCAGGCUAGAGUUUGCUUUCGCCUACCCCCUUCACAAGCGACAAUUCGCCCUUCAACCUUGAUCGGCGGCACCUCAUUGAUCAGUUCCAUCGGAGAUUUCUUGCUUGUGUCCUGCGAUAAAUAAAAUCAGAGAGGAUCAAAAAUUAUAAACACUCCUUUCAAAAGAAAAAUUAUAAACACUGGCAAUAUAAUGAGUGACAAAAAAUAUCACUGUCUUCAACCAAUAAAGCUCACAAAUUAGGUAGUUGUGCAACUUAAGUUGUGAAUAUCACACGACAAACUCAUGCCAACUACCUGGUAUAUUGGUAUAAGUACAAAUUCUGCUAUCUUUGAGGAUAUGGGAAUCCCAAAGCUAAGAAUUGACUUUCAGGCAUCACUUUUUGACAGCGCAAGGAAUAUUGGUCUUUACUCAGUUCAACAAUUGACCUCUCAUAUAUUAUUGCUGCAGUAGCCACUUGCUAUAGUAGUUCCCAGAAAAGCCUCAAAAUGAUACACGUCGUUUAAGUUUUACUCAGUGAAUAGGCGAAAACCAAAAUCGAUACUGUCCAAGUAUGGUAGGAUGGUGUUGGACUACUGGGCUGCUGGCUGUGACAUUAUUGUAACAGAAAUACAAUUGGAAGAUUAUUCAGAUACAUCAUAAGCUCUUGCAUACAUUCUUAUCUGUAACCUAUGACAUGAAAUGAGGAGAAAACGGUUUCACUUGAUCAACAAGGUCGAUAUAACAAAUUGUUAGAAGGGAGGUCCAGCCAUAAGUCGGUAAAACAUCUGUAACCUAUGACAUGAAGAAAUGAAGUAAUACAAAAAGGAAAAGAAAGAGAAAACAAAAAUCAUGAUCAACUAAGCCCUCUCGAGGGCUUGCUUAAGAAUAAGAAAGAAGAAUCUUAUGGAAAUGGAAUAAGGUUUGAUCCUAUUCAUGGGGAUUCCGUAAAUAUGCCAUUCCAAAAAUAGAAACAAUCGGGACUUUUCGGAGAUUGGAUGCAGUUACUAAUUCAUGAUCUGGCAUGUACAGAAUGAAAACUUCAUUCUCGAUUCUACGAGAAUUUUUAUGAAAGCGCUUCAUUUGCUUCUCUUCCAUGGAAGUUUCAUUUUCCCAGAAUGUAUCCUAAUUUUUGGCCUAAUUCUUCUUCUGAUGAUCGAUUCAACCUCUGAUCAAAAAGAUAGACCUUGGUUCUAUUUCAUCUCUUCAACAAGUUUAGUAAUAAGCAUAACGGCCCUAUUGUUCCGAUGGAGAGAAGAACCUAUAAUUAGCUUUUCGGGAAAUUUCCAAACGAACAAUUUCAACGAAAUCUUUCAAUUUCUCAUUUUAUUAUGUUCAACUUUAUGUAUUCCUCUAUCCGUAGAGUACAUUGAAUGUACAGAAAUGGCUAUAACAGAGUUUCUGUUAUUCGUAUGUAUAUUUAAAACAAUCUACUAAUGGUCUGCUGACUGCCAAGCUUCAGCAAAGAUAUAGAAACAAACUUAAAAGACACACAAUGCAUCAAGAUAUAAUGUGUCAAAAAAACAACAGAAUGAGUGCAUGUUACGGGACAUGCAAGGAUUACACAUCUCAUCAAGGAUAAUCGAAGAAACUACAAACCAGCUGUGCCUUCCUUCACUG
This 18944-nucleotide long non-coding RNA is filed under the name Brachypodium distachyon (stiff brome). Its description in RNAcentral is "long non-coding RNA (BDIS_LNC003085)". The stretch from base 5908 to 6040 matches the Rfam family "MIR1120/MIR1122 microRNA precursor family". Lineage: Eukaryota; Viridiplantae; Streptophyta; Magnoliopsida; Poales; Poaceae. The record is from RNAcentral.